GUACACUCCUACGGGAGGCAGCAGUGGGGAAUUUUGGACAAUGGGCGAAAGCCUGAUCCAGCCAUGCCGCGUGCAGGAUGAAGGCCUUCGGGUUGUAAACUGCUUUUGUACGGAACGAAACGGCCUUUUCUAAUAAAGAGGGCUAAUGACGGUACCGUAAGAAUAAGCACCGGCUAACUACGUGCCAGCAGCCGCGGUAAUACGUAGGGUGCAAGCGUUAAUCGGAAUUACUGGGCGUAAAGCGUGCGCAGGCGGUUAUGUAAGACAGUUGUGAAAUCCCCGGGCUCAACCUGGGAACUGCAUCUGUGACUGCAUAGCUAGAGUACGGUAGAGGGGGAUGGAAUUCCGCGUGUAGCAGUGAAAUGCGUAGAUAUGCGGAGGAACACCGAUGGCGAAGGCAAUCCCCUGGACCUGUACUGACGCUCAUGCACGAAAGCGUGGGGAGCAAACAGGAUUAGAUACCCCAGUAGUCCC
This 474-nucleotide ribosomal RNA is filed under the name uncultured organism. RNAcentral describes it as "partial 16S ribosomal RNA". It matches the Rfam family "Bacterial small subunit ribosomal RNA", at positions 331 to 797 of the family's 1533-position model. The record is from RNAcentral.